Molecule: ribosomal RNA, 460 nt
Filed under: uncultured bacterium
Lineage: Bacteria
Description: partial 16S ribosomal RNA
Rfam family: Bacterial small subunit ribosomal RNA
Source: RNAcentral
CCUACGGGAGGCAGCAGUGAGGAAUAUUGGUCAAUGGGCGUAAGCCUGAACCAGCCAAGUCGCGUGAGGGAUGAAGGUUCUAUGGAUCGUAAACCUCUUUUAUAAGGGAAUAAAGUGUGGGACGUGUCCUGUUUUGUAUGUACCUUAUGAAUAAGGAUCGGCUAACUCCGUGCCAGCAGCCGCGGUAAUACGGAGGAUCCGAGCGUUAUCCGGCUUUAUUGGGUUUAAAGGGUGCGUAGGCGGCCUUUUAAGUCAGCGGUGAAAGUCUGUGGCUCAACCAUAGAAUUGCCGUUGAAACUGGGAGGCUUGAGUAUGUUUGAGGCAGGCGGAAGGCGUGGUGUAGCGGUGAAAUGCUGAGAUAUCACGCAGAACCCCGAUUGCGAAGGCAGCCUGCCAAGCCAUGACUGACGCUGAUGCACGAAAGCGUGGGGAUCAAACAGGAUUAGAUACCCCUGUAGUC